UAUGCAUAAUUUAACUCUUGGCUCGAGGAAGAAACUUUGAUUGGAUUUUGUUACAAUGUCACACUAGAAUCGAAAUAAAAAAGAGCCCGUUUGUCUGGGAACUCUCUCAAUGGAAGUUCUGGUGAUUUUUUCCAUUUUUCCGGGUGAUCCAUGGGCAUUCAAUGGAGGCAUGGCUACUACUGGCAUACCUUCAGGGGAGUUGGCUUGGAUCCCUUUGGAAUGCCAACCCUAAAGAGACCAUGGGAUGAUGGAACCGAGCGCAUGGCAAUGCAAAGAGCAGCUCUGAGGUGCUUUUGAAUUUUUUAGUAAACUUGGAGUCAAGUACUGGACUUUCCAUGACAGGGAUGUAGCUCCUGAAGGUGCAACACUGGAAGAGACAAACAGUAAUCUUGACGAGAUAACACACCUAGCUAUGGAACUAAUAGCAAAGACAGGUGUAAAACUUCUGUGGAAUAUCUGCAAUCUCUUUGCCAAUCCAGGGCUUCAAGAAACUAAUUUGCAUAAGAACACACUGAAGUGUAAAGUAAUUUCAUGAGAAAAAUAAUGGUUGCAAAAUUGUUUUUAACUGAAUCUUAAUAAACUUCCUUACAUAUCAGGAUCGCUUUGUUCAAACAAUUAUGAUAAUUAAUAUGUAAAAGUUUACUCAAUACUUGUUUUUCAUAUCACAGUGAUUGAUCAAAGACUCGUAACAAUGUUACUAAGACAUCACAAUGUGUACGCGAGAGCCACAUAAAAACUUCCUCGUGGAAUUUAUUUCAAUAACACAAACUACACAUUUUAUAGGAAUGGCUGGUUUGGU
Molecule: long non-coding RNA, 799 nt
Organism: Asterias rubens (European starfish)
Lineage: Eukaryota; Metazoa; Echinodermata; Asteroidea; Forcipulatida; Asteriidae
Exons: 4
Source: RefSeq, a predicted model, not a curated record